This 26-nucleotide non-coding RNA is filed under the name Rattus norvegicus (Norway rat). The record is from RNAcentral. Lineage: Eukaryota; Metazoa; Chordata; Mammalia; Rodentia; Muridae.
UGGGAACUGGAUUCGGAAACUAGUGA